Molecule: ribosomal RNA, 423 nt
Filed under: uncultured bacterium
Lineage: Bacteria
Description: bacterial SSU rRNA
Rfam family: Bacterial small subunit ribosomal RNA
Source: RNAcentral
AACGAACGCUGGCGGUAUGCUUAACACAUGCAAGUCGAACGAACAAAAUUGGGGCUUGCUCCAAUUUUAGUGAGUGGCAAACGGGUGAGUAACACGUGGGAAUCUACCUAUCAGUACGGAAUAACAUUUGGAAACAGAUGCUAAUACCGUAUAUUCUCCAAGGAGGAAAGAUUUAUCGCUGAUAGAUGAGCCCGCGUAAGAUUAGGUAGUUGGUAGGGUAAUGGCCUACCAAGCCGACGAUCUUUAGCUGGUCUGAGAGGAUGAUCAGCCACACUGGGACUGAGACACGGCCCAGACUCCUACGGGAGGCAGCAGUGGGGGAAUAUUGGACAAUGGGCGAAAGCCUGAUCCAGCAAUACCGCGUGAAUGAUGAAGGCCUUAGGGUUGUAAAGUUCUUUUAGUUGGAAAGAUAAUGACGGUACC